AUGGUCCAUCACCGCGUGGUUGCAACUUGCACUUGCAUUGCUCAGGAAAAUGGUCCUUCUGAAGGUGUACCCAUACCAAAUCGCCUUGCUCGAACACCAGCUUCUUCCUGGUCUUAUUUACCCGCUUCGUAUAUUGUUCAGUCAUUUCUCAAUGUCCUCAUUUGCCUGGGCAUGAAGUUUCUUGAUGAAAUCAACAUGCUUACUUGCAUCAAGGCUGGCUCGUUCCUGCAGUGGCAAAGGCAAAAGAUCGAUGGGAGCAAUAGGUUUGAAUCCAUAAACAAGUUCAAAUGGGCAAAAUUUAGUGGUCGAAUGUACCGCCCUGUUAUACGCGAACUCCACAUGAGGUAG
This 348-nucleotide ribosomal RNA is filed under the name Triticum aestivum (bread wheat). RNAcentral's name for it is "partial small subunit ribosomal RNA". The record is from RNAcentral. Lineage: Eukaryota; Viridiplantae; Streptophyta; Magnoliopsida; Poales; Poaceae.